GAACACUAGAGAAAAGAGAAACAUUAAAACAGCAGUUUUAUAAUUAAAGCUGGGCUUCACUUUGCAAGAGCAUAACUCUUACUUUCUCCAAAGCUCUCUACCAGUCCUCACUUAUUUUAUCAAAUAAUUAUAUAUUUACUAUACAUGCAUACAACUCAAGCUAAGUCACUAAAAGUUUAUACGUGCCUUGUGAUAAUAAAUUUAGUAAUGACUUUCCCCCCCUACAAACAGAUCUCUUCAUACCUGAAUUUCUAAACUAUUCCAUAAACUGAUUGUUUUCAGUGAGUGACUAACAAAAACAGGAAAUUUUAAAGGUAAGUCCACGCAUUACCACUGCUCAAGUUGUUCCAGUAUAGCUGGAUGACUCUGUAGGAAAUACCCAGAAACGGCUCAUGUACAUUGGCUUUACUAGCAUGGUUUCCUCCAAAAGAACCAUGGGAACAUAGAAGCCUACAAGGAACCAGAAAUCUCUCACCAAAAACUCAUUCCAAUGGUUUCCUAAGGGAAGCCAUGGUAAUUUAAUAGCAUUGAAACAAACCUAAGUUUAAAAUUUAGAUACACAUCCACAAAACUUUAUGGCAUCUCAAAUGUGCACAGUGUUAAGCACCCAAAAGCAAGAAAGGGGAGAACCUCACACAUACGGCAAGGAACUUUAGAUCUCCUGCAAACAUAAAAAAGGGAGGGGCACUUUUGAACUUCUCAUUCACAUUCUACAACCAGUUUUAGCAAGCUGCAUUCUACCUCACAGAAAGGGAGGGGAAACAGCAACACAACACGGGGAGAAACUUUUCCCACAUACUUUAAGGAAACAUGCACUCCAACAAAGGGCACUGCGUGCCAGCUCCUAUAUCCAGAAUGCAUUACUUGAUCAGUUUUUUUAAAAAAAAGGUCUAACCUAGUUUAUCUAAUUCUGAAGCAGUGCUUUGAACCAUUGAAUGUCUGGAGGAGGAUUCUAAGCAUGUUCAGCUGAACAAGUUUAGAUUCUUCCCUGUAACUGGAAGCCACAACUUACCAGGGUCCUCAUUUGCAAGGGAUUGGUGGAUCAUAUGCUAGCUUGGCAUGAUUAGGGUGGGUGGGAAUAGAACCAUGCAUACCUUGUAGUAUCAGUCCAAGGUCCACCAUCCUACUUUCAAAAGCAAUCUGUCAAAUGUCUUUGGACACUCACAGAGUAAGAACAUGAUAGUGAUCCAUUGUUUGUGCCCAGUAGUCAGUACUCAGAGGAAUACCACCUCUAAACUUGUAAUCACAGCAAUUUGCUGCGUUUUCUUAUCAGGAUGAAACCAUGCACAUUCGGAAGAAGGCUAUGAACGCCAAUUUCAUAACCCUUCUCCCUCUCUCACACAUACCCUCUAGGGAAAAGAGAGCAGAACCAUUCCCAGCUGGCUUUUUUUCUUUAUUCAACAAGAAAAUAGUUUCAACAAGCCUGACAAACACAGAGUUCUGUGUUUUAUUGUUUACUAUUAUAUAUCAUUACUUCUAAGUACAAAUAUUAUUAAAUGCAUGCUCUCUCUUUACAGGCAGGGAAAGAACUUCAUCUCAAUUGAAGCGCACAGAAAGCAGAGGGGGAAGCUGGCAUGUACAGAUGUGCAUUCUUCUGUUUCCAACCAAAGGAGCCAACUGUUUGUAUACAUGAUUGCAGCACAAGUUUGAACAGGUCUUUCAGAAGAGCUCUUUAGUCUUCUGCUAUUGUCAUGACUGGACAGAACAGAUUUCCAAUUCUCACUAUAUCUUGACCAAAAGGACACUGCUGAAACCCUUAUUGAAAGCAUUAAUGCAAAAGCUAUGAGAAA
Long non-coding RNA from Podarcis raffonei (Aeolian wall lizard), 1790 nucleotides. RefSeq lists it as uncharacterized. The record is from RefSeq and is a predicted model, not a curated record. The transcript is spliced from 2 exons. Lineage: Eukaryota; Metazoa; Chordata; Lepidosauria; Squamata; Lacertidae.